This is a long non-coding RNA of Numida meleagris (helmeted guineafowl), 1354 nucleotides long. RefSeq lists it as uncharacterized. The transcript is spliced from 6 exons. Lineage: Eukaryota; Metazoa; Chordata; Aves; Galliformes; Numididae. The record is from RefSeq and is a predicted model, not a curated record.
GCAGAGGGAGGCGGGAAUUCGUUAACGGCUGACUCAGGAGAAAGGCGGGAAAACUCUUAUGUGGGGCUCUGAGGGGAGAUAGAGCAAGAUAAGGCUCUGGGAGUGUUUAAAAAAAGGCGAAGAAAGUAUGGUAUCAGUUGCAGCUGAGAGAAGGAAGUUGUAUUUUGCAAAGGUUGUGGAGGAGAUUGGCAUUUGGUGGAGGAUGAAGUGAGGUUUUGUGUGUUUGAGGGCAGAAGGCCUUGGAGUGGGGUGCGUGGUGCUGGGAGAGGCACAGCCCGCUCCUUUGGGCCGUGCUGAGAGAACAUCGGGGCUUUUCUCGUUGUUUAAGCAGCCGACCCAGCGUCCCCACAGAAACGUUUUUUAAAAUAACCUCAGAGAAGGAGACUUCACUUCUGGGCAGCCAGUUUCAGCGCUCUGUGACCCUCAAAGUGCAGGACCCUAUGCUGCCUGUGUUGAACCUCCUCACGUUCCUCUGUGCCCAAUUCCGCCUGUCCAGCUGUUGCUGAAUGGCAGCCUUCUGCUGUGGAGUGCCACAGCCACUCCUCCUGGCUUUGUACCAUCAGCUGAGGGUGGAAUCUGUCCCUUCAUCCCGAUUGUUGAUGAAGAUAUUGAUCAAGAAUUGAUCAAGACAGAGAGGGAAAGCUGAGCCAGGAAUAGUGGAAAAGUGAGAGCAGGGAACGCUGGAAAUAACAACGGGGCCACCACCUGACACCACAGCAGCCUCAGAGCCUGCGUCGAUGAGGAAGGAUGGGUUGAAACCUGUUUGGAAACAGAAUGGAAACCAUCAGACUUAUUUGCUCUGAAGAGAAAGGGACUGAGUUCAGGAAAGAUGAGAGGAAAUGAGGCUAAAAACGGAAGCAGAAGAAUCUUCAGGCAGUGAAGAAGACAACUUGCGAAGAGCAAAACUUUGUGCAGCCACCUGUAGGCUAAAGAAAGAGUUCUGCAUGCAGCUUACAACAGAAACUGAGAGUGCACAGCUAUUCCUGGAACUAGCAGUUGUGUUCGGGAGAUGGGGAGCGUAUCUUACCAGAGACAUGGGGCACUUCUCCAGCUCUUCCUCGUUCUUAAUCUGGACAUCUGAGAUGGAAACGUACUUGUGCUGGCAAAAUACACAGAGGCAGAGCAAUGAUACAACUAAAGGAUGCAACACAGAGCAACAACAGCAUUUGCUGAGUUUGCUGAGGACUGAAUUUGCAUCAGACCUUUACUGCGGGCUGACAGCAUGCACGGUGCUGCUGCCCCACCGAUCACCCCACAGCCCCACCUGCGAGCUCUGCACCAUGGCUGUCGGUGUCCCCGUACUCGAACUCCACGGCGGGGAAAUCCACGGAGCCCUGCAGAGAGCGGAGCGCUG